Molecule: long non-coding RNA, 568 nt
Filed under: Neodiprion pinetum (white pine sawfly)
Lineage: Eukaryota; Metazoa; Arthropoda; Insecta; Hymenoptera; Diprionidae
Description: uncharacterized LOC124211797
Source: RNAcentral
AACGCGCGAGAAAGGGGAUUCGGACGGCUGGCGCACGAAGCUCUCGCUCCGCACGUAUGAAGUCGUUCGAAGACCAGGCCGAGCUCGAGACGAGUUCAGAUGCCGUUUGCCGAAGCACGCUCCUCCACCCAUACGGACGGCGAACGGAGCACCCAGCGUUCGACACGCAGCUCGCAAUCAGCUUCAGUGCGUUCCCGUCUCGCUUCGUAGAAGCCGAUUUCCCAGCCUGACCACAAUAGACUCUUCGAUUAGAGAGCUCGUCCAGGCGCCGCUUCUGUGGACCACACUCGCCGAUCUCCAACGCGAGGAGCCGCUUCCACGGACUGGCUUCCUUCAACAGGUGAACGCAGGUCCCGAAGGCCUGAACGACAGCGCCGAGAGGCAUCGGAGAUGAGCUUACCUUGAUUAAUCUCAAGAGUGUGGAGUGGCGGAGUGGCUACUGUUAACCAACGUUCAAACAGAAGUUGUUGAGGAUUAAAGUCACGAGCAGACCUGCCUCACUCGAGUAGCAGGUAGAUGAUAAGAAAUGACAUGCAUGUCUAAAGCCAAUAAACCGAUUUCAUUAAUA